CUACGGGAGGCUGCAGUGAGGAAUUUUGCGCAAUGGGGGAAACCCUGACGCAGCAACGCCGCGUGAGUGAUGAAGGCCUUCGGGUCGUAAAACUCUGUCAAGUGGGAAGAACCUAUGUAAGGUUAAUACCCUUAUGUACUGGCGGUACCACUGAAGGAAGCACCGGCUAACUCCGUGCCAGCAGCCGCGGUAAUACGGAGGGUGCAAGCGUUAUUCGGAAUUAUUGGGCGUAAAGGGCGCGCAGGCGGUUUUGUAAGUCAGAUGUGAAAGCCCGGGGCUUAACCUCGGAAGUGCAUUUGAUACUGCAAGACUUGAGUAUGGGAGGGGGAAGUGGAAUUCCUGGUGUAGAGGUGAAAUUCGUAGAUAUCAGGAGGAACACCAGUGGCGAAGGCGACUUCCUGGACCAAUACUGACGCUGAGGCGCGAAGGCGUGGGGAGCAAACAGGAUUAGAUACCCGCGUAGUC
This 465-nucleotide ribosomal RNA is filed under the name uncultured bacterium. RNAcentral's name for it is "partial 16S ribosomal RNA". It matches the Rfam family "Bacterial small subunit ribosomal RNA", at positions 339 to 795 of the family's 1533-position model. The record is from RNAcentral.